GAAUAUUGGACAAUGGGGGGAACCCUGAUCCAGCCAUGCCGCGUGUGUGAAGAAGGCCUUUCGGUUGUAAAGCACUUUAAGCGAGGAGGAGGCGACGUAGAUUAAUACCCUAGGAUAGUGGACGUUACUCGCAGAAUAAGCACCGGCUAACUCGGUACCAGCAGCCGCGGUAAUAAAGAGGGUGCAAGCGUUAAUCGGAGUUACUGGGCGUAAAGCGCGCGUAGGUGGCCAAUUAAGUCAAAUGUGAAAUCCCCGAGCUUAACUUGGGAAUUGUAUUCGAUACUGGUUGGCUAGAGUAUGGGAGAGGAUGGUAGAAUUCCAGGUGUAGCGGUGAAAUGCGUAGAGAUCUGGAGGAAUACCGAUGGCGAAGGCAGCCAUCUGGCCUAAUACUGACACUGAGGUGCGAAAGCAUGGGGAGCAAACA
RNAcentral lists this ribosomal RNA (424 nucleotides) under uncultured bacterium. RNAcentral describes it as "bacterial SSU rRNA". It matches the Rfam family "Bacterial small subunit ribosomal RNA", at positions 359 to 774 of the family's 1533-position model. The record is from RNAcentral.